RNAcentral lists this long non-coding RNA (808 nucleotides) under Salvia miltiorrhiza (redroot sage). Its description in RNAcentral is "long non-coding RNA (SMIL_LNC001853)". The record is from RNAcentral. Lineage: Eukaryota; Viridiplantae; Streptophyta; Magnoliopsida; Lamiales; Lamiaceae.
CGUUGGACAAAUAACAAAACGAAAUGAAAUGAAAUCCCAACUUCCCGUCAUUUUUUCCAAUCAUCGGAAAUAAAAUCGGCGUCAAAAUUGAACAACUUACAAAGUUGAUGUAUUUAAUUGUAAAAUUCUAACUUCACGUCAAAUAUGAAUUUUGAGCAAAGUUUGUGUAUUUACAUGCAAUUUUCCCUUAUUUUUAUAUAUAAGUAAACAUGAGAGCUACAAAUUGCAAGAAUUCAAACUUUGACAACCAUGCAAUCAUCCAAGACUAUGCAGCUGGCGAAUGAGCUGAUCUCGGCGGCGGCGGGGAAGAUGACGGCGGAAACGGCGGCUACACCAGCGUUUGGCCAGGAGAGAGAGCGAAAUCUGGCGGCGGCGGCGACGACGGGCUUUCUUUUUUCACAUCAGCAACGGGAGUAGUAGUUUACGUGAAAACGGCGCCGUCCUCGAGAUGGAAGCAUCGUCGGAAGAGAAGGGGUUUUCCACACAUCGUGUGAAAAUGGGUUUGGACAUGAACAAGAUCGCGAGCAAGAAGAGAUACGUGGGUUUCAUUGAUUAUGCUGGAUGUGUGGUGGAGUUGUUUCGGAGAUAUCUAUAUAUAUAGGCAUAAGAGAUGAGAUUAAUUGUCGUUAUUGGGUAGUUAUUAAGGUGCAUUGACUUCAUGUCUUGCAAUUUAAUUAGUUUGAGUUGCAAAAUUUGACGGGAACUUACGAAGAUUUUUCAAAUAAUUAGCCGUGAAUUUGAGCUUAAAACUUGAAUUCUUAACCAACACUUUCAUAAUUUCAUUGUUAGAGAUAGAAAUAAAUUCUUU